RNAcentral lists this ribosomal RNA (822 nucleotides) under uncultured fungus. RNAcentral describes it as "eukaryotic LSU rRNA". The stretch from base 310 to 463 matches the Rfam family "5.8S ribosomal RNA". Lineage: Eukaryota; Fungi. The record is from RNAcentral.
GUGAGGCCUUGGGAUUGGCUUAGGAGGGUUGGCAACGACCCCCCAGAGCCGAAAACUUGGUCAAACUCGGUCAUUUAGAGGAAGUAAAAGUCGUAACAAGGUUUCCGUAGGUGAACCUGCGGAAGGAUCAUUACCGAGUGAGGGCCCUCUGGGUCCAACCUCCCACCCGUGUUUAUUUUACCUUGUUGCUUCGGCGGGCCCGCCUUAACUGGCCGCCGGGGGGCUCACGCCCCCGGGCCCGCGCCCGCCGAAGACACCCUCGAACUCUGUCUGAAGAUUGUAGUCUGAGUGAAAAUAUAAAUUAUUUAAAACUUUCAACAACGGAUCUCUUGGUUCCGGCAUCGAUGAAGAACGCAGCGAAAUGCGAUACGUAGUGUGAAUUGCAGACUCCAGUGAAUCAUCGAAUCUUUGAACGCACAUUGCGCCCGCUGGUAUUCCGGCGGGCAUGCCUGUCUGAGCGUCAGUAUAAUCUCAAGCAACUGCUUGGUGUUGGAAGAUGAGCUGCCCAGCAGUUCCCUUCUUAAACUGAUUGGCAAGUUUACAUAGCAGCAAGCGUAGUAGAAAUACCAUCAGCUUAGUUACUCUGUAUAGCUUUGUCAAAAUCAAACUAUUUUAAGGUUUGACCUCAGAUCAGGUAAGGAUACCCCCUGAACUUAAGCAUAUCAAUAAAGGGGAGGAAAAGAAACCAACAGGGAUUGCCCUAGUAACGGCGAGUGAAGCGGCAUCAGCUCAAAUUUGAAAGCUGGGCCUUCUGGUCCGCAUUGUAAUUUGUAGAGGAUGCUUUUAGGCAGCCGCCGGUCUAAGUUCCUUGGAACAGGACGU